Molecule: ribosomal RNA, 484 nt
Filed under: uncultured bacterium
Lineage: Bacteria
Description: partial 16S ribosomal RNA
Rfam family: Bacterial small subunit ribosomal RNA
Source: RNAcentral
AUUGAACGCUGGCGGCAGGCCUAACACAUGCAAGUCGAGCGGAUGAAGCGAGCUUGCUCCUGGAUUCAGCGGCGGACGGGUGGGUAAUGCCUAGGAAUCUGCCUGGUCGUGGGGGAUAACGUCCGGAAACGGGCGCUAAUACCGCAUACGUCCUGAGGGAGAAAGUGGGGGAUCUUCGGACCUCACGCUAUCAGAUGAGCCUAGGUCGGAUUAGCUAGUUGGUGGGGUAACGGCCUACCAAGGCGACGAAGCGUAACUGGUCUGAGAGGAUGAUCAGUCAGAUGGGAACUGAGACAGGGCACAGACUCCUACGGGGGGCCGCAGUGGGGAAUAUUGCGCGAUGGGCGAAAGGCUGAUACAGGCAUGCCGGGGGAAUGAAGAAGGUCUUCGGACGGUAGAGCACUGUAAGUUGGGGGGAAGGAAAGUAAGUUUAUCCCUGACUGUAUUGACGGUACCAACAGAAUAAGCACCGGCUAACUUCGUG